UACAGAGGGUGCAAGCGUUGUCCGGAAUUAUUGGGCGUAAAGCGCGCGCAGGCGGUUCUUUAAGUCUGAUGUGAAAGCCCACGGCUCAACCGUGGAGGGUCAUUGGAAACUGGAGAACUUGAGUACAGAAGAGGAAAGCGGAAUUCCACGUGUAGCGGUGAAAUGCGUAGAGAUGUGGAGGAACACCAGUGGCGAAGGCGGCUUUCUGGUCUGUAACUGACGCUGAGGCGCGAAAGCGUGGGGAGCAAACAGG
This 253-nucleotide ribosomal RNA is filed under the name uncultured bacterium. RNAcentral describes it as "partial 16S ribosomal RNA". It matches the Rfam family "Bacterial small subunit ribosomal RNA", at positions 524 to 776 of the family's 1533-position model. The record is from RNAcentral.